RNAcentral lists this ribosomal RNA (866 nucleotides) under uncultured bacterium. RNAcentral's name for it is "bacterial SSU rRNA". It matches the Rfam family "Bacterial small subunit ribosomal RNA", at positions 524 to 1381 of the family's 1533-position model. The record is from RNAcentral.
UACGAAGGGCCCGAGCGUUGUGCAGAAUCACUGGGCUUAAAGGGUGUGCAGGCGGAUAUGUAAGUGUCUUGUGAAAUCCCACGGCUCAACCGUGGAACUGCUUGGCAAACUACAUAUCUUGAGCACGGCAGAGGCAGUCGGAACUCUAGGUGGAGCGGUGAAAUGCGUAGAUAUCUAGAGGAACGCCAAAGGUGAAGACAGACUGCUGGGCCGUCGCUGACGCUCAGACACGAAAGCGUGGGUAGCGAACGGGAUUAGAUACCCCGGUAGUCCACGCCGUAAACGAUGUGUACUAGAUCGAGGAGGUUUUGACGCCAUCUCGGUCGCCGCGAAAGCAUUAAGUACACCGCCUGGGGAGUACGGUCGCAAGGCUAAAACUCAAAGAAAUUGACGGGGGCUCACACAAGCGGUGGAGCAUGUGGCUUAAUUCGAAGCAACGCGAAGAACCUUAUCCAGGGUUUGACAUGUAUGGAUUAUUGAUCUGAAAAGUGAUAGACGCCCUUUGGGUGGAACAUACACAGGUGCUGCAUGGCUGUCGUCAGCUCGUGCUGUGAAGUGUCGGGUUAAGUCCCUUAACGAGCGAAACCCCUAUCGUUAGUUGCCAGCGAGUCAUGUCGGGGACUCUAACGAGACUGCCGGUGUCAAACCGGAGGAAGGUGGGGAUGACGUCAAGUCCUCAUGGCCUUUAUGCCCUGGGCUGCACACGUGCUACAAUGGCAUCGACAGAGCGACGCAAUACGGUAACGUGGAGCAAAUCGCACAAACGAUGCCUCAGUUCGGAUUGUGGUCUGCAACUCGACCACAUGAAGUUGGAAUCGCUAGUAAUCGCGUAUCAGCCACGACGCGGUGAAUGUGUUCCUGAGCCU